Molecule: long non-coding RNA, 279 nt
Filed under: Ictidomys tridecemlineatus (thirteen-lined ground squirrel)
Lineage: Eukaryota; Metazoa; Chordata; Mammalia; Rodentia; Sciuridae
Description: lncRNA (ENSSTOG00000030855.1)
Source: RNAcentral
AGUGCCUGGCACUGUGCAGCCACUGACACUCCCUGCGUGAGUGACCACGGGGACCAUGCUGUGAACAGUGCCGGGCAGAGUAAGUGGGUCUGCUGUGACAUCGGUCUUCCAAGGCUAGGGCUGCUGCGACUGACGAACCUGAGGUUUAAGCCCCUCGGCGACGGUCCCAGCCAGUGCCCUGGAGUAAGAGCGGACGUUCACUGAACAUGGCCAUGCCCAGAGGAUUCUAGAACUUCAAAGCGUGCAGCUCGGGCCUUUCCAUCCACAACCUCACCCUCU